Molecule: ribosomal RNA, 209 nt
Organism: Clostridium collagenovorans DSM 3089
Lineage: Bacteria; Bacillati; Bacillota; Clostridia; Eubacteriales; Clostridiaceae
Rfam family: Bacterial small subunit ribosomal RNA
Source: Rfam
UAAAUUGAGAGUUUGAUCCUGGCUCAGGACGAACGCUGGCGGCGUGCUUAACACAUGCAAGUCGAGCGAUGAAGUUCCUUCGGGAACGGAUUAGCGGCGGACGGGUGAGUAACACGUGGGCAACCUGCCUGUAAGUGGGGGAUAGCCCUCCGAAAGGAGGAGUAAUACCGCAUAAGAUAUUUUGAUCGCAUGGUCGAAAUAUUAAAGGA